RNAcentral lists this ribosomal RNA (329 nucleotides) under uncultured eukaryote. RNAcentral describes it as "partial 18S ribosomal RNA". It matches the Rfam family "Eukaryotic small subunit ribosomal RNA", at positions 1470 to 1796 of the family's 1831-position model. The record is from RNAcentral.
CCCUUAGAUGUUCUGGGCUGCACGCGCGCUACACUGAUGCACUCAACGAGUUUACAACCUUAUCCGGAAGGAUUGGGUAAUCUUUUGAACGUGCAUCGUGAUGGGGAUAGAUUAUUGCAAUUAUUAAUCUUCAACGAGGAAUUCCUAGUAAGCGCAAGUCAUCAGCUUGCGCUGAUUACGUCCCUGCCCUUUGUACACACCGCCCGUCGCACCUACCGAUUGAAUGACCCGGUGAAAUCUUCGGAUCGUCGUAUUGCCCGAUUCAUUUCGGGCGAUGUGACGCAAAGUUGAUUAAACCUUGCCAUUUAGAGGAAGGUGAAGUCGUAACA